This 501-nucleotide ribosomal RNA is filed under the name uncultured bacterium. Its description in RNAcentral is "partial 16S ribosomal RNA". It matches the Rfam family "Bacterial small subunit ribosomal RNA", at positions 29 to 523 of the family's 1533-position model. The record is from RNAcentral.
AUUGAACGCUGGCGGCAUGCCUUACACAUGCAAGUCGAACGGCAGCACGGGUGCUUGCACCUGGUGGCGAGUGGCGAACGGGUGAGUAAUACAUCGGAACGUACCUUAUCGUGGGGGAUAACGCAGCGAAGGCUGUGCUAAUACCGCAUACGCCCUGAGGGGGAAAGCGGGGGAUCGAAAGACCUCGCGCGAUUAGAGCGGCCGAUGCCUGAUUAGCUUGUUGAUGGGGUAAAAGCCAACCAAGGCGACGAUCAGUAGCUGGUCUGAGAGGACGAUCAGCCACACUGGGACUGAGACACGGCCCAGACUCCUACGGGAGGCAGCAGUGGGGAAUUUUGGACAAUGGGGGCAACCCUGAUCCAGCAAUGCCGCGUGAGUGAAGAAGGCCUUCGGGUUGUAAAGCUCUUUUGUCAGGGAAGAAACACCGGCUCUAACACAGUCCGGGAAUGACGGUACCUGAAGAAUAAGCACCGGCUAACUACGUGCCAGCCGCCGCCGUAA